UACGUUUUUGCCAGUUUUGUAUUUGCGGGAGCCUUAACUAUUUCUUGUGCUGUGACAAAGGGGCUGUGGGUGGAUUCUGGCUCCAUGUGGUCUCCUUGUCUGGUGCGUAUCCUCUCUCGUUGUGCUGGAUCUCUCGUUAUCAGUAGUUUAAUGUAGUGUGGUCACAGGUAAAUGCUGGUAGCGGCUCGCUGCUCUUGCCUCGUCUCACUGGUUGCAUGAACAGGUGCUGUACCAUAAGGGGCUGACGGCCUGUAGUGGUGUGGGUGAUCGUAGGAGAUCCUCCUGUCUGCUGUGCCGUUUCCAGGGAUGUGGGUCGUUCACGGGUGUGCUCUUUUCACGCACAUUGAAGCAAACUAAAGGACAAAGCAGCAGUGGUCUUCAUUGGAGUUCAUGGAGGUUUGGGGCUGACGGCCUGUAGUGGUGUGGGUGAUCGUAGGAGAUCCUCCUGUCUGCUGUGCCGUUUCCAGGGAUGUGGGUCGUUCACGGGUGUGCUCUUUUCACGUGUGUCUGGGGGAACUUUUACUUUGGGGACC
Mugil cephalus (flathead mullet) is the source of this 533-nucleotide long non-coding RNA. RefSeq lists it as uncharacterized. The record is from RefSeq and is a predicted model, not a curated record. The transcript is spliced from 4 exons. NCBI's taxonomy places the organism in Eukaryota, Metazoa, Chordata, Actinopteri, Mugiliformes, Mugilidae.